RNAcentral lists this ribosomal RNA (2902 nucleotides) under Escherichia coli. Its description in RNAcentral is "bacterial LSU rRNA". It matches the Rfam family "Bacterial large subunit ribosomal RNA". Lineage: Bacteria; Pseudomonadati; Pseudomonadota; Gammaproteobacteria; Enterobacterales; Enterobacteriaceae. The record is from RNAcentral.
UUAAGCGACUAAGCGUACACGGUGGAUGCCCUGGCAGUCAGAGGCGAUGAAGGACGUGCUAAUCUGCGAUAAGCGUCGGUAAGGUGAUAUGAACCGUUAUAACCGGCGAUUUCCGAAUGGGGAAACCCAGUGUGUUUCGACACACUAUCAUUAACUGAAUCCAUAGGUUAAUGAGGCGAACCGGGGGAACUGAAACAUCUAAGUACCCCGAGGAAAAGAAAUCAACCGAGAUUCCCCCAGUAGCGGCGAGCGAACGGGGAGCAGCCCAGAGCCUGAAUCAGUAUGUGUGUUAGUGGAAGCGUCUGGAAAGGCGCGCGAUACAGGGUGACAGCCCCGUACACAAAAAUGCACAUGCUGUGAGCUCGAUGAGUAGGGCGGGACACGUGGUAUCCUGUCUGAAUAUGGGGGGACCAUCCUCCAAGGCUAAAUACUCCUGACUGACCGAUAGUGAACCAGUACCGUGAGGGAAAGGCGAAAAGAACCCCGGCGAGGGGAGUGAAAAAGAACCUGAAACCGUGUACGUACAAGCAGUGGGAGCACGCUUAGGCGUGUGACUGCGUACCUUUUGUAUAAUGGGUCAGCGACUUAUAUUCUGUAGCAAGGUUAACCGAAUAGGGGAGCCGAAGGGAAACCGAGUCUUAACUGGGCGUUAAGUUGCAGGGUAUAGACCCGAAACCCGGUGAUCUAGCCAUGGGCAGGUUGAAGGUUGGGUAACACUAACUGGAGGACCGAACCGACUAAUGUUGAAAAAUUAGCGGAUGACUUGUGGCUGGGGGUGAAAGGCCAAUCAAACCGGGAGAUAGCUGGUUCUCCCCGAAAGCUAUUUAGGUAGCGCCUCGUGAAUUCAUCUCCGGGGGUAGAGCACUGUUUCGGCAAGGGGGUCAUCCCGACUUACCAACCCGAUGCAAACUGCGAAUACCGGAGAAUGUUAUCACGGGAGACACACGGCGGGUGCUAACGUCCGUCGUGAAGAGGGAAACAACCCAGACCGCCAGCUAAGGUCCCAAAGUCAUGGUUAAGUGGGAAACGAUGUGGGAAGGCCCAGACAGCCAGGAUGUUGGCUUAGAAGCAGCCAUCAUUUAAAGAAAGCGUAAUAGCUCACUGGUCGAGUCGGCCUGCGCGGAAGAUGUAACGGGGCUAAACCAUGCACCGAAGCUGCGGCAGCGACGCUGAUGCGUUGUUGGGUAGGGGAGCGUUCUGUAAGCCUGCGAAGGUGUGCUGUGAGGCAUGCUGGAGGUAUCAGAAGUGCGAAUGCUGACAUAAGUAACGAUAAAGCGGGUGAAAAGCCCGCUCGCCGGAAGACCAAGGGUUCCUGUCCAACGUUAAUCGGGGCAGGGUGAGUCGACCCCUAAGGCGAGGCCGAAAGGCGUAGUCGAUGGGAAACAGGUUAAUAUUCCUGUACUUGGUGUUACUGCGAAGGGGGGACGGAGAAGGCUAUGUUGGCCGGGCGACGGUUGUCCCGGUUUAAGCGUGUAGGCUGGUUUUCCAGGCAAAUCCGGAAAAUCAAGGCUGAGGCGUGAUGACGAGGCACUACGGUGCUGAAGCAACAAAUGCCCUGCUUCCAGGAAAAGCCUCUAAGCAUCAGGUAACAUCAAAUCGUACCCCAAACCGACACAGGUGGUCAGGUAGAGAAUACCAAGGCGCUUGAGAGAACUCGGGUGAAGGAACUAGGCAAAAUGGUGCCGUAACUUCGGGAGAAGGCACGCUGAUAUGUAGGUGAAGUCCCUCGCGGAUGGAGCUGAAAUCAGUCGAAGAUACCAGCUGGCUGCAACUGUUUAUUAAAAACACAGCACUGUGCAAACACGAAAGUGGACGUAUACGGUGUGACGCCUGCCCGGUGCCGGAAGGUUAAUUGAUGGGGUCAGCGCAAGCGAAGCUCUUGAUCGAAGCCCCGGUAAACGGCGGCCGUAACUAUAACGGUCCUAAGGUAGCGAAAUUCCUUGUCGGGUAAGUUCCGACCUGCACGAAUGGCGUAAUGAUGGCCAGGCUGUCUCCACCCGAGACUCAGUGAAAUUGAACUCGCUGUGAAGAUGCAGUGUACCCGCGGCAAGACGGAAAGACCCCGUGAACCUUUACUAUAGCUUGACACUGAACAUUGAGCCUUGAUGUGUAGGAUAGGUGGGAGGCUUUGAAGUGUGGACGCCAGUCUGCAUGGAGCCGACCUUGAAAUACCACCCUUUAAUGUUUGAUGUUCUAACGUGGACCCGUGAUCCGGGUUGCGGACAGUGUCUGGUGGGUAGUUUGACUGGGGCGGUCUCCUCCUAAAGAGUAACGGAGGAGCACGAAGGUUGGCUAAUCCUGGUCGGACAUCAGGAGGUUAGUGCAAUGGCAUAAGCCAGCUUGACUGCGAGCGUGACGGCGCGAGCAGGUGCGAAAGCAGGUCAUAGUGAUCCGGUGGUUCUGAAUGGAAGGGCCAUCGCUCAACGGAUAAAAGGUACUCCGGGGAUAACAGGCUGAUACCGCCCAAGAGUUCAUAUCGACGGCGGUGUUUGGCACCUCGAUGUCGGCUCAUCACAUCCUGGGGCUGAAGUAGGUCCCAAGGGUAUGGCUGUUCGCCAUUUAAAGUGGUACGCGAGCUGGGUUUAGAACGUCGUGAGACAGUUCGGUCCCUAUCUGCCGUGGGCGCUGGAGAACUGAGGGGGGCUGCUCCUAGUACGAGAGGACCGGAGUGGACGCAUCACUGGUGUUCGGGUUGUCAUGCCAAUGGCACUGCCCGGUAGCUAAAUGCGGAAGAGAUAAGUGCUGAAAGCAUCUAAGCACGAAACUUGCCCCGAGAUGAGUUCUCCCUGACUCCUUGAGAGUCCUGAAGGAACGUUGAAGACGACGACGUUGAUAGGCCGGGUGUGUAAGCGCAGCGAUGCGUUGAGCUAACCGGUACUAAUGAACCGUGAGGCUUAACCUU